Molecule: non-coding RNA, 116 nt
Organism: Picea glauca (white spruce)
Lineage: Eukaryota; Viridiplantae; Streptophyta; Pinopsida; Pinales; Pinaceae
Source: Rfam
UACCUACAACAUAGCAUUAAUGCAUUGGAUUCCAUUAGAACUCCGCAGUUAAGCGCACUAGGCUAGAUUAAUACUAGGAUGGGUGACUGCCCGGGAAGUCCUAUUAUUUUAAAUGC